UACGGGGGGGGUAAGCGUUGUUCGGAAUUACUGGGCGUAAAGGGCUCGUAGGCGGCCAACUAAGUCAUACGUGAAAUCCCUCAGCUUAACUGGGGAACUGCGUGUGAUACUGGAUGGCUUGGAUUUGGGAGAGGGAUGCGGAAUUCCAGGUGUAGCGGUGAAAUGCGUAGAGAUGUGGAGGAACACCUGUGGCGAAGGCGCCUUGCUGGCCGAUUUCUGACGCUGAGGCGCGAAAGCGUGGGGAGCAAACAGG
This 253-nucleotide ribosomal RNA is filed under the name uncultured bacterium. RNAcentral describes it as "partial 16S ribosomal RNA". It matches the Rfam family "Bacterial small subunit ribosomal RNA", at positions 524 to 776 of the family's 1533-position model. The record is from RNAcentral.